AUGGCUCAUGCGACCAAGGUAUUCAUCUCCUCUUUCGCUGGCCGAGACAAUGAUCAUCACUCUGCCGGGUUUGCCACUGCCGCUGCUGUUCGAAGAUUCGAGAGGCUUGCGGACGGUGCUGAUGAAUUUAUUAGAUAUGUGCAGCUCGGCGGGACACCACGACGACCACACCUGUUCUUUGACCCUCUCAUUGGGCAUAUCUUUGCAGGCAGAUCUUUGAUUUAUCAUGUGUUGCAUCCGGGAGGCCAGUUUCACGUAUUCGGCAUACGGCCAAUGGGGUUCGAGGAGCGAGGGUUGGAGGUCAUCCUAUCCUUCGUGUAUCAAGAUUGCAAGGUGCCCAAGAACAGUUUCCGCCUCGGGUUCAUGUUGCGUGUUUCCGAGAGUAUAGACAUAAUAGGAACUUCAAUCAAGUGCUUGCGACUCGUGACGCCUCACUUCAAAUCCCUAGCUGAAAUUGCCAUCAACGAGAUCAGGCAGCUCCCCACACAAGAUUUCUUCUGUGUGCCACAAGAGGUUGCGGAUUCACAUCUGGAACAUUGGAAUCACAUCCACACAACUUUGACUAGAUGGUUCCGACCAGAUCCGUUAUGCUGUCAAGGAUACGAGUCACAUGACGAUAUGCCUUCUUGUGGCGGCGGCAAAUUGAGAAUUUCAAGCAUCUUUCCAGAAACAGUCUGCCAAGUGUUUUUGCAGCGUCAAAUCUCAGUAUCCGAGUACAAUAGUCAAUUGCAUAGAUCAACCGCAGCAACUGGUAAUGCUGACACAUCUACUUCUCCGGAGAUUUUCCCACCUUUGAAGCUAGUGAUUUUAUUAAUGCCUCAUCACCCAUAGGAGGAUCCUAAGUCCACAAGCGAGGACUCUGCGAUAGAGGCGAUCGAUGGAGAGAAGCAACACCUCACCCAUGUAAAUGUUCACCCGCACCAACUCGAUGAGAUCCUUCUCCCGAAGGCAAUAGAUUAUCUUCAUCAUAACACCGAGGCUACAAAUUACCAGAUAUGUUGGACAUCUAACCAUGGCAGUGCACACCUAUACGUGGAGAAGACAAGGAUGGUCGGGGCAUGCAUGGACGUCACAACCACAAGAAGAGCUGUUUGUAAGAUGCUUCAUCAGGAGCAGCACGAUAGACGAAUAGGGAAAGUGCAGAUGAAGCUGGUAGCUACAUAUCUCCUCAAACUAUGGGUUGUGAGUUCUUCGGAGAGGCUGCAGAGUUUGUUUUCGGCAUGGAUCGACUAG
RNAcentral lists this ribosomal RNA (1233 nucleotides) under Triticum aestivum (bread wheat). Its description in RNAcentral is "partial small subunit ribosomal RNA". The record is from RNAcentral. Lineage: Eukaryota; Viridiplantae; Streptophyta; Magnoliopsida; Poales; Poaceae.